AGCCAUUUUACUUUUAAGUUAAAUAUGGGAUGCAGUGUAUGGAACAUCAAUAAUCUAGUAUGAAAAAUUAACGAUUUAAGUCCUUCUUAAAUGAGGCCAUUUACCCAUAGAGGGUGCCAGGCCCGUAUAACGUUAAUGAUUAUUAGAAGAUGUUUCCAAAGAGUCGUGUUGCUUGAUAGUGCAGCACUAAGUGGGUGGUAAACUCCAUCUAAAACUAAAUAUAACCAUGAGACCGAUAGUAAACAAGUACCGUGAGGGAAAGUUGAAAAGAACUCUGAAUAGAGAGUUAAAUAGUACGUGAAACUGCUUAGAGGUUAAACCCGAUGAACCUGAAUAUCCAUUAUGGAAAAUUCAAUACUAAUAGAAUAGUGUGCAAUUUUUCCAUAUAAGGACAUUGUAAUCUGUUAAUGUUAUAAAUAUUUAUCAAAAGAUUCUUUACUUAAGUUUAUUCAAAUUCAACAUAAAAUAAAUGUAUUGAAUUAGAUAAAUCAUUGACAGAUAUAAUUAUAUAAUAUGCUUAAAUUCAUUUGAAUUUUGCAAUAUUGCCUGCAUUUAUUAUGAUUAACAAUGCGAUAGAUUCAGGAUACCUUCGGGACCCGUCUUGAAACACGGACCAAGGAGUCUAACAUAUGUGCAAGUCAUUGGGUAUUUAUAAUAAAACCCAAUGGCAUAAUUAACUUAACUAAUGGGAUUAAUUUAUAUUUAUUCAAUCCCGGGGCGUUCUAUAUAGUUAUGUAUAAUAAUAUUUAUAUUAUUUAUACCUCUAACUAGAGCGUACCUUGAGCAUAUAUGCUGUGACCCGAAAGAUGGUGAACUAUACUUGAUCAGGUUGAAGUCAGGGGAAACCCUGAUGGAAGACCGAAACAGUUCUGACGUGCAAAUCGAUUGUCAGAAUUGAGUAUAGGGGCGAAAGACUAAUCGAACCAU
Molecule: ribosomal RNA, 927 nt
Filed under: Ocyptamus cf. argentinus GFGM-2015
Lineage: Eukaryota; Metazoa; Arthropoda; Insecta; Diptera; Syrphidae
Description: eukaryotic LSU rRNA
Rfam family: Eukaryotic large subunit ribosomal RNA
Source: RNAcentral